GGGAUGAGGCCUUUGGGCUGUAAACCUCUUUUCUCAAGGAAGAAGAUCUUACGGUACUUGAGGAAUAAGCCACGGCUAAUUCCGUGCCAGCAGCCGCGGUAAUACGGGAGUGGCAAGCGUUAUCCGGAAUUAUUGGGCGUAAAGCGUCCGCAGGCGGCCGUUUAAGUCUGUUGUUAAAUCGUGGAGCUUAACUCCAUCACGGCAAUGGAAACUGUUCGGCUUGAGUAUGGUAGGGGCAGAGGGAAUUUCCGGUGUAGCGGUGAAAUGCGUAGAUAUCGGGAAGAACACCAUUGGCGAAAGCGCUCUGCUGGGCCAUUACUGACGCUCAUGGACGAAAGCCAGGGGAGCGAAAGGGAUUAGAUACCCCUGUAGUCCUGGCCGUAAACGAUGAACACUAGAUGUUGGGGGAAUCGACCCCUUCGGUGUCGUAGCUAACGCGUUAAGUGUUCCGCCUGGGGAGUACGCACGCAAGUGUGAAACUCAAAGGAAUUGACGGGGGCCCGCACAAGCGGUGGAGUAUGUGGUUUAAUUCGAUGCAACGCGAAGAACCUUACCAAGGCUUGACAUCCUGCGAAUCUCCAAGAAAUUGGAGAGUGCCUUCGGGAACGCAGUGACAGGUGGUGCAUGGCUGUCGUCAGCUCGUGUCGUGAGAUGUUGGGUUAAGUCCCGCAACGAGCGCAACCCACGUUUUUAGUUGCCAGCAUUCAGUUGGGCACUCUAGAAAGACUGCCGGUGACAAACCGGAGGAAGGUGUGGACGACGUCAAGUCAUCAUGCCCCUUACGCCUUGGGCUACACACGUACUACAAUGCUGCGGACAAAGAGUAGCGACCUUGCGAAAGUUAGCUAAUCUCGUAAACCGUGGCUCAGUUCAGAUCGUAGGCUGCAACUCGCCUACGUGAAGGAGGAAUCGCUAGUAAUCGCAGGUCAGCAUACUGCGGUGAAUACGUUCCCGGGCCUG
RNAcentral lists this ribosomal RNA (960 nucleotides) under uncultured bacterium. Its description in RNAcentral is "bacterial SSU rRNA". It matches the Rfam family "Bacterial small subunit ribosomal RNA", at positions 405 to 1382 of the family's 1533-position model. The record is from RNAcentral.